GGCAGAAUGGCCGAGCGGUCUAAGGCGUGUGACUCAAGCAAUGGCGCAGUAUUACGUCAGCUUGCCCAGAUGUGGGUUUCUCAUCAUCGUAUGAUGGCAGGGGUUCGAAUCCCCUUUCUGUCA
Molecule: non-coding RNA, 123 nt
Organism: Armillaria mellea
Lineage: Eukaryota; Fungi; Basidiomycota; Agaricomycetes; Agaricales; Physalacriaceae
Source: the annotation of a GenBank genome assembly